Molecule: ribosomal RNA, 135 nt
Filed under: Peromyscus maniculatus bairdii (prairie deer mouse)
Lineage: Eukaryota; Metazoa; Chordata; Mammalia; Rodentia; Cricetidae
Description: 5.8S ribosomal RNA (ENSPEMG00000005775.2)
Rfam family: 5.8S ribosomal RNA
About the family: 5.8S ribosomal RNA (5.8S rRNA) is a component of the large subunit of the eukaryotic ribosome. It is transcribed by RNA polymerase I as part of the 45S precursor that also contains 18S and 28S rRNA.
Source: Rfam by way of RNAcentral
GACUCUUAGCGGUGGAUCACUCGGCUCGUGCGUCGAUGAAGAACGCAGCUAGCUGCGAGAAUUAAUGUGAAUUGCAGGACACAUUGAUCAUCGACACUUCGAACGCAAGUGCCCCGGGUUAUGUAGUAAUUGUAU